RNAcentral lists this long non-coding RNA (529 nucleotides) under Mus spicilegus (steppe mouse). RNAcentral describes it as "lncRNA (ENSMSIG00000016923.1)". Lineage: Eukaryota; Metazoa; Chordata; Mammalia; Rodentia; Muridae. The record is from RNAcentral.
CAGAACUGCAAGACAACAAUGACAGGCCACUGUUUGCAGCCACCAGCCUGGUGGGACUUCUGUGCUGGCCCUGGGGUGUAAUCCACCUAUCUGACACAUACCCUGUCUCUCUGCUCUCUAGAAGCACAGAUGCGGGGUAUGAUGACGACGCCCUGAUCCUCUGAGCCGGGAAGUCCGGCACUGUGGUGCAUGCCUGAGAUCUGAAGAGGCUGAGGACUGUGCCUCAAAAACAGCAUCAACCAAGAACAUAGCACAGGCGCGCAAGUGCCCGCCUGGUGAAAUCAGAUGGCCACGGUCCUGGACCAAGAGCUGGAGGACCUGCCAGUGGGUGAGUAGAACCCAGGGCGUGUUCGUGGCUCCAGCUCUGAGACCAUUCCCACCUGCCAUUGGCUUGAGAAGUGGGGUAAUCAUGAAUUCUGGCUUGCUGGGAUUAGAAGUCAAGGACUAAAAGCCCUGGCUUGCUUCCCCACCCCACCUCACCCCCUAUUUUUCCUCUCCACCUCCUCCAGUCCUUCUGGGGUCUCAGGCC